Molecule: ribosomal RNA, 253 nt
Filed under: uncultured bacterium
Lineage: Bacteria
Description: partial 16S ribosomal RNA
Rfam family: Bacterial small subunit ribosomal RNA
Source: RNAcentral
UACGUAGGUGGCAAGCGUUAUCCGGAUUUAUUGGGUGUAAAGGGCGUGUAGACGGCCUUGCAAGUCUGGUGUGAAAGCCCGGGGCUCAACCCCGGGACUGCAUUGGAAACUGCAUGGCUGGAGUGCAGGAGAGGUAAGCGGAAUUCCUAGUGUAGCGGUGAAAUGCGUAGAUAUUAGGAGGAACACCAGUGGCGAAGGCGGCUUACUGGACUGUAACUGACGUUGAGGCUCGAAAGCGUGGGGAGCAAACAGG